UGAUUUAGCUGAGCAGCAGAUAAUUUUGUAAGAAGUUAAAGGGGGGUUUGUUACCCCCCCUAAAUUAG
RNAcentral lists this transfer RNA (68 nucleotides) under Calyptogena rectimargo. RNAcentral's name for it is "tRNA-Tyr". Lineage: Eukaryota; Metazoa; Mollusca; Bivalvia; Venerida; Vesicomyidae. The record is from RNAcentral.